GCAGCCGCGGUAAUUCCAGCUCCAAUAGCGUAUAUUAAAGUUGUUGCAGUUAAAAAGCUCGUAGUUGAAUUUCGGGGUUAGUAGGCUGGUCGUGCCACAGGUAUGCACUGGUCUUACUGAUUCCUCCUUCCUGAUGAACCGUAAUGCCAUUAAUUUGGUGUUGCGGGGAGUCUGGACUGUUACUUUGAAAAAAUUAGAGUGUUUAAAGCAGGCUAACGCUUGAAUACAUUAGCAUGGAAUAACGAAAUAGGACGUUCGAUCUUAUUUUGUUGGUUUCUAAGAUUGACGUAAUGAUUAAUAGGGAUAGUUGGGGGCAUUAGUAUUCAAUUGUCAGAGGUGAAAUUCUUGGAUUUAUUGAAGACUAACUACUGCGAAAGCAUUUGCCAAGGAUGUUUUCAUUAAUCAAGAACGAAAGUUAGGGGAUCGAAGACGAUCAGAUACCGUCGUAGUCUUAACCAUAAACUAUGCCGACUAGGGAUCGGAUGAUGUUAAUUUUUUAAUGACUC
This 506-nucleotide ribosomal RNA is filed under the name uncultured Glomus. RNAcentral describes it as "SSU rRNA". It matches the Rfam family "Eukaryotic small subunit ribosomal RNA", at positions 570 to 1077 of the family's 1831-position model. The record is from RNAcentral. Lineage: Eukaryota; Fungi; Glomeromycota; Glomeromycetes; Glomerales; Glomeraceae.